GAUGAACGCUGGCGGCGUGCCUAAUACAUGCAAGUCGAGCGAACGGACGAGAAGCUUGCUUCUCUGAUGUUAGCGGCGGACGGGUGAGUAACACGUGGAUAACCUACCUAUAAGACUGGGAUAACUUCGGGAAACCGGAUCUAAUACCGGAUAAUAUUUUGAACCGCAUGGUUCAAAAGUGAAAGACGGUCUUGCUGUCACUUAUAGAUGGAUCCGCGCUGCAUUAGCUAGUUGGUAAGGUAACGGCUUACCAAGGCAACGAUGCAUAGCCGACCUGAGAGGGUGAUCGGCCACACUGGAACUGAGACACGGUCCAGACUCCUACGGGAGGCAGCAGUGGGGAAUCUUCCGCAAUGGGCGAAAGCCUGACGGAGCAACGCCGCGUGAGUGAUGAAGGUCUUCGGAUCGUAAAACUCUGUUAUUAGGGAAGAACAUAUGUGUAAGUAACUGUGCACAUCUUGACGGUACCUAAUCAGAAAGCCACGGCUAACUACGUG
This 497-nucleotide ribosomal RNA is filed under the name uncultured bacterium. RNAcentral describes it as "partial 16S ribosomal RNA". It matches the Rfam family "Bacterial small subunit ribosomal RNA", at positions 28 to 507 of the family's 1533-position model. The record is from RNAcentral.